ACUUUCAACAACGGAUCUCUUGGUUCUGGCAACGAUGAAUAACGCAGCGAAAUGCGAUAAGUAAUGUGAAUUGCAGAAUUCAGUGAAUCAUCUAAUCUUUGAACGCACAUUGCGCCCCCUGGUAUUCCGGGGGGCACACCUGUUCGAGCGCCAUUUCU
This 158-nucleotide ribosomal RNA is filed under the name uncultured Venturia. Its description in RNAcentral is "5.8S ribosomal RNA". It matches the Rfam family "5.8S ribosomal RNA". Rfam says of the family: 5.8S ribosomal RNA (5.8S rRNA) is a component of the large subunit of the eukaryotic ribosome. It is transcribed by RNA polymerase I as part of the 45S precursor that also contains 18S and 28S rRNA. The record is from RNAcentral. Lineage: Eukaryota; Fungi; Ascomycota; Dothideomycetes; Venturiales; Venturiaceae.